GAUGAACGCUAGCUACAGGCUUAACACAUGCAAGUCGUGGGGCAUCAUGAUGUAGUAAUACAUUGAUGGCGACCGGCGCACGGGUGAGUAACGCGUAUCCAACCUACCCUCCACUCAAGUAUAGGCUUCCGAAAGGGAGAUUAAUCCUUGAUAUCGUCAUUCUCUCUCCUGUUAGAAUGAUAAAAGGACAUCGUUUCGGUAGAGGAUGGGGAUGCGUUCCAUUAGGUAGUAGGUGGUUUAACAGGCCACCUAGCCGAUGAUGGAUAGGGGUUCUGAGAGGAAUGUCCCCCACACUGGUACUGAGAUACGGACCAGACUCCUACGGGAGGCAGCAGUGAGGAAUAUUGGUCAAUGGGCGCAAGCCUGAACCAGCCAUGUAGCGUGAAGGAUGACGGUUUUUUUGAUUGUAAACUUCUUUUCUGUGGGAUUAAAGUGUGGCAUUUAUGCCAUAUUGCAGUAUCUCAGGAAUAAG
RNAcentral lists this ribosomal RNA (472 nucleotides) under Bacteroidetes bacterium oral taxon 272. Its description in RNAcentral is "bacterial SSU rRNA". It matches the Rfam family "Bacterial small subunit ribosomal RNA", at positions 28 to 490 of the family's 1533-position model. The record is from RNAcentral. Lineage: Bacteria; Pseudomonadati; Bacteroidota.